CAACGUUGGUGGAACGUCGCCAAUCAACGUUCCUUAUCCACGUUGUAGGAACGUUAUAUGCUGACAUUGCCGCCACGUUGGUUAAACGUUGCCGUUUAACGUUCCUUCUCCACGUUGUGGGAACGUUUUAUGCUGACAUUGUCGCAACGUUGGUUAAAUGUUGCUGAUUAACGUUUCUUAUCCACGUUGUAGGAACGUUUUAUGCUGACAUUGCCGCAACGUUCGAUAAAAAAUAAUUUUUCGUUGCGGCAAUGUUAUAUUUUAACGUCGCAGUAACGUUGCCUUACGACGUUCGGCUACAAGUGAUUCAACGUUACAAAAACAUUGCUUAUGAACGUCGCUGCAACGUUGAAACUCAACUUUCGCAAGUGGCAUAUAUAUAAAUGAAAUGAUAAAGAAAUUAUUAAUUUAGCAAAGAUCGCAUCAGUAUGUAGCUAUAUCUCAUGCUCCCUGAUGAUGGCUCGAUCUGAAAGAGAGUUGAUAGAAUUUCUCGUGCGGAUAUAUAAUGAUAAAUAUAUUUGAACUUGACAGUUGCCUUGAGUAAAGUUUAAUUUCAGCGACCUCGUGUGUAUCAUAUGUAGGCCUAAAUAAGGCUAAGAUUGUUUCAAUUUGCGCCGUUUUCAUAAUGAAAUCAUACGCCGGUAUCGUCUAAAGAGCAUGCAAGGCCGAAAUGGCAAUGACGGUAAAUAUGAUUUUAUACGGUUUUUUAAUUUAAAUUUUGAGACAUAAAAUGAGUUUUAAAAUGAAAUGUUUUGCCCCGGCUCUAUAUAAAAUAUAUAUAGUGUGUCGUGUGUCGACUUUGUGUUUGUUUGUCCAAAUUCCUGUUAUUUGAUACACGUGCAUUGACCGUCGGAAAGGUGGAUGGAAAGCAAUGAGUCCAAAUAUGGUCAUUAAUGCUAUAUACGGUUACUGAAAUAACUGAUUCGGUUGCUGGCGCCAACUGUCAUUGUGCUUGCGUCGAAGCGAACAAAACGUAUUGUGUGUAGACUAGCUUUUUCAAGAGGUAUAUUUUUCAAUUUGAGUACUCGUUUGUUUGUUUGGCAACUUUCUCGACGUCUACAACCGACUGCGUCUGUAUUAGCAGCAUUAUUGCAAAUUCUGUCUUCUGAGAUCUCUCGUGUGUUGGAUUGUUUGAUAAAGUAACAAUUCAAGUCUUAUGUAAAGGAUCGCAAGAACAGGACAAAUCAAGCUUAGAAAUGAUUUAACACGUGCGAGAUGACAUUGUCUUUUCUGAUUUCUCAUAUUUCUAUCGCCAUAUAUACUGUACCUAUGAUUUAUCAAUAUUCGGAAUAUACAGCUGAUUCAAAUAAGGUUGUCCUUUCACAACCUUAAACGGUAAACUUUGAGCGCGCCUAUUAACCUUAAACACAAAAUAAUUAAAUUGCCUUUCAGCAAGUAUGCUUUAAAAAAUCCGUCGUGAGUCUUCUAUGUCUUGCCGGGGUAUUAUUGCAGUCUAAAUAGUCUAAAUAUGCAAAGAACCAUCAUCCGUUGAGCGUUCAAGGUCUAACGUUUAUGGUUAUAGAAGGACAACGUUAAUUGAAUCAGCUGUAAGUAAAUAAGAUAGUGUAAUUGUUGUAAAUCAAACGAUUUUCCAAAUACAGGUAUUACACCGAACACUUUGUUUUAAACUCGUUUAUUUACGCCUUUCAGUAACAAUGUUUUGUCAACAUAUUCGUUGCAAGAACCUGCCACGAUUUUAUGCUGGCGAAUUUUAGAAGUUAAUUUGGCUGUUUAUAUUCUUACAACGUUAAUUCCAGAGGUUUUCUGGACGUUAAACGA
Molecule: long non-coding RNA, 1779 nt
Organism: Dendronephthya gigantea
Lineage: Eukaryota; Metazoa; Cnidaria; Anthozoa; Malacalcyonacea; Nephtheidae
Exons: 3
Source: RefSeq, a predicted model, not a curated record